UGUUUUAUCGACACAUUGCCUUAACCUCUCCACUGCUGGAGCAUCGCAUUCAGCCGCCCUAAUAUCCAUUAGAUGGCCAUCCAUUUGAGCUCUUUCUUGAAUCAAUUCGUCAAUGGGUUCCAUCUAGGCGUCGUGUCCUGCUGGGUUGAGGUGGUAUGAUCUCAGGAAAUUAUCCCUGCAAGAUAAACAAACCGUGUUACUCAAUGAUCAAUAUUCAAGCACAAAAUU
Telopea speciosissima is the source of this 228-nucleotide long non-coding RNA. RefSeq lists it as uncharacterized. The transcript is spliced from 3 exons. The record is from RefSeq and is a predicted model, not a curated record. NCBI's taxonomy places the organism in Eukaryota, Viridiplantae, Streptophyta, Magnoliopsida, Proteales, Proteaceae.